Molecule: long non-coding RNA, 499 nt
Filed under: Gallus gallus (chicken)
Lineage: Eukaryota; Metazoa; Chordata; Aves; Galliformes; Phasianidae
Description: lncRNA (ENSGALG00010013781.1)
Source: RNAcentral
GUUACUACUGCCUAGCAGCUGAGCUCUGAGUCUCCAGGAGAAGAAGGAAUCGACAGUAACUUUGAAUUAUCAGGACUAAAACCAUUUAUACCUGAAAAUCACCAGAAAUUAAUUUAUAGCACUGUAGCAGACCUGAUGUACUUGGCCUUUCAUAAAAAAAAGUAACAAAUCCCGUUGGGUCUCCAUCUUCUAUAGACAAGGGAAAUCUUGCUGACAUCACUGCCAGAAAGAAUGGAGGAAAAAUAGCAAGAGAAAAGGAUCCAUUCCCUGCAAGAGAUGCUGAAUCCAGCAGUCUGGUAGAGGUGACGUGGCUGAAGAUCCAUGUCCACAGGUCCAGCUAGUGACAAGGCAGAACAUGUCAUCCCCACAGGCAUGCAAACACAUGUACAACAUGCAUACCCAUAUGACCAGACAAGCACACUCUGUAUGCAUCUAUUAACUGAUGUCAACUGACAUUCAGCCAACUCAGUAACUUGCCCUGGGACAUUCUCAUCCCCAG